GAGCAAUGAUGAAAAAAAAGUUUUACUACUUCCUUUAUAACUGUGAAGGGAUUCUACACUGGAACUGAGCUCA
Small nucleolar RNA from Manis pentadactyla (Chinese pangolin), 73 nucleotides. RefSeq annotates it as small nucleolar RNA U2-30. The transcript has a single exon. The record is from RefSeq and is a predicted model, not a curated record. NCBI's taxonomy places the organism in Eukaryota, Metazoa, Chordata, Mammalia, Pholidota, Manidae.